Molecule: ribosomal RNA, 258 nt
Filed under: uncultured bacterium
Lineage: Bacteria
Description: partial 16S ribosomal RNA
Rfam family: Bacterial small subunit ribosomal RNA
Source: RNAcentral
GUCCAUGCCCUAAACGAUGAUUACUCGAUGUGUGCGAUAUACAGUACGCGUCUAAGCGAAAGCAUUAAGUAAUCCACCUGGGAAGUACGACCGCAAGGUUGAAACUCAAAGGAAUUGACGGGGGCCCGCACAAGCGGAGGAGCAUGUGGUUUAAUUCGAUGAUACGCGAGGAACCUUACCCGGGCUUGAAAGUUAUGGAAUGAUGUGGAAACAUGUCAGUCAGCAAUGACCAGAAACUAGGUGCUGCAUGGCUGUCGU